This 425-nucleotide ribosomal RNA is filed under the name Verrucomicrobiota bacterium. Its description in RNAcentral is "Verrucomicrobia bacterium partial 16S ribosomal RNA". It matches the Rfam family "Bacterial small subunit ribosomal RNA", at positions 355 to 776 of the family's 1533-position model. Lineage: Bacteria; Pseudomonadati; Verrucomicrobiota. The record is from RNAcentral.
UGAGGAAUAUUGGUCAAUGGGCGAGAGCCUGAACCAGCCACGUCGCGUGAAGGAAGACUGACCUUACGGUUUGUAAACUUCUUUUGUAGAGGGGUAAUGGCAGAUACGUGUAUUUGCGUGAAAGUACUCUACGAAUAAGCAUCGGCUAACUCCGUGCCAGCAGCCGCGGUAAUACGGGGGAUGCGAGCGUUAUCCGGAAUUAUUGGGUUUAAAGGGUGCGCAGGUGGCUAAUCAGGUCAGUGGUGAAAAGCUAUGGCUCAACCAUGGUCUUGCCAUUGAAACUGUAUAGCUAGAGAGGAGACGAGGUAGGCGGAAUGUGUGGUGUAGCGGUGAAAUGCAUAGAUAUCACACAGAACUCCGAUUGCGAAGGCAGCUUACCAGGCUUUAUCUGACACUUAGGCACGACAGCGUGGGGAUCAAACAGG